UGGGCCCCGAUUUGGAACCACGAAGCUGCCUCGGUUCAGUGGAUCGGAAUCACUUCAACCCUAAGGUUCAAUCGGUUCGACCCAUCUCAUCUCCCUCCCGAGCGGCGGCGGCACUCACGUAGACGCCGCUAAGUCUCCGGCGGCGACUGGCCACGCAGGACUGGGCGCCGACGACCGGCCACGCGGGACGGUUGCGCCGGCGUCAGCGCAUUCGGGGCCGCACCGCCGCAGCCUCCGCCAAGCCGCGGGGGUCGUCGUCGCCAUCUUCUCAAGGCUGUACACCGGUGGUAGGAGGCGCUUCGAGGUGGUGUGGUGCGACACCUGCGUGGAGACCCAGGCGCUGACGGUGGCCAAGGCGGCCAGCAUCGCUACGCUCGAGCAGUUCAAGAUCUCCGCCGACCGAAGGUGGAAGUGGAUAGGAUGAUGGAUGUGCCACACCUCCAAGGAGUUGGAGAAGGACACUCAAGUGGUAGAAAGCGAAAGAGAACGCCUCGGGCAACCAGUGCUCCACUAGUUGAAGUAGUUGAAGGAGUAGACCUCAAUAACAAUGCUCCGGAAGUUGAACAAGUUCAGUCAAGCAAUGCAGUACAGCCAAAUGAUGAUAAUGAGCUAGUUGGUGAUGGAGAGAACAACCAGGGCAUUGGUGAUGGCGAGGAUCAGAACAUGGGUGACGGUUCGGAGGAUCGGGACUUCGGUGAUGGUUCGGAGGAUCGGGACUUCGGUGAUGGUUCGGAGGAUCCUUGACAUUAUAGGUUUUGGUUGACCACACCGACUUCCUCAAGGAACUCCAGUGAAGCCCAAUGCUUGAUGUAGUAAUGCUUCUCCGUGAUGUAAUAAAUGGCAGUUGGCGCUUGACUUUGCUCCUGCCAUGAUGAACUGAAAAUAAAACUGCCGUAGAGUUGUGCUUUUGCUAGGGAGGAUUGGGGUUCACUGUGUAACUGCCUGUUACUAGUUUGCAAUUGCUACCUGUAGCAAUCUGUCUAUUACACUAGACCAGUUUGAGGUGUUGAUUCACUGAUAUGUGCUGGUUGCCUGCUGCUGUUUUGUCGUGAAUCUGUCUAUUAGGCUAGUCGGCAACUAACCAACUGUAAGCAAUUGCAUUGACAAAUCCAUCUGAUGUUUGAUCUGAAUGUCU
Molecule: long non-coding RNA, 1135 nt
Organism: Panicum virgatum (switchgrass)
Lineage: Eukaryota; Viridiplantae; Streptophyta; Magnoliopsida; Poales; Poaceae
Exons: 2
Source: RefSeq, a predicted model, not a curated record